Long non-coding RNA from Lathyrus oleraceus (garden pea), 1076 nucleotides. RefSeq lists it as uncharacterized. The transcript has 3 exons. The record is from RefSeq and is a predicted model, not a curated record. NCBI's taxonomy places the organism in Eukaryota, Viridiplantae, Streptophyta, Magnoliopsida, Fabales, Fabaceae.
AAAACAUAUUCACUCAUCAGCAUAAAAACUCAGCAGCAACGUAUGAAUUUCUCUCCUUGUUUCGAUUCCACGCACUUAUCCAUCUCUCAUCUCAAUUCGAAUGUUCAUAAAUCCAUACGAAAAACAUCAGCAAUCAAAUACAAAUCAGAGCAUAAUCCUUGUCACUGAAUCCCUAUUCCAAUUUGAGUUCACCAUUCGCCUUCAACAAUUUUGGUCCACAUCCGUUGUCAAGUCGUAACCAUGUUUGUGCGCCGCUUCGGAGAGAAUCGGGGAUGAACGAAGCAAUAACAUGUUUUAUUGAUGCCAGAGAUGGAAGAAAAACUUACCGGAUUAGAGCUCCGACACGGUGGCUCUCCGAAAAAAAAAAGUAUCGAGUUUUCUCUCUUCUUUGUUGUGCUUUAACUUGAUGUACACUUCUUCCUCUUCUCAUGAAUUCUUCAACUUUGUGCUAUGAAUUGAGAGAGAGGAUUGUGAGGAUAUCAGGGAGUAAGAAUCGAAGUUUGGAGAAUGAAUCAGAGCCAUAUCAGGAGUGAAAUGAAAAUCUGAACAAAUGAAUGGGCCUCUGAGAAUUUGCAGUGAAACAAAAAUCUAAUAUAAUGCAAAAUGAUAGCCUCUUCAAAAAUUGCAGCGAAAAGAGCUUAAAUACCAUCUCGAUUUAAUAGAGUGAAAACUCUGUUAAAUAUGAGAAUCUUUAGGGUUAUAUGAGUUUCUGUCAUGACUUUUCUGCUGUGUUAUGAAGAGUUUUUCUUGCGCUGAAAAGGAGUUCUGCAGGUUGAAUGAAGGAGAUCCAGGUUGCAAUGUUGAAGUGAGCUUUAUGCUAUGAGCUGCUUGUGAUAAGGACUCGUUGGAAUCAAAUUGGGAAUUUGGGGAUUGAUGCUUGGACUGUAGUAAACAAUUGUCAUGGAAUAUAAUGAAUUGGAUUGGAAUUGUGCGUGGUUUAUGGAAUUUGAAUUGAAUGUGUUUAUUGUAUUGAAUGUUGUAUGGAGUUAAUUAUGAAUGAAUGUGUUAUGGGAUGCUAUUGAAUGUUUGGAUAUUUAUUGAAAGUUAAUUGAAUGUUAUGUUAUUCUUUCUUUGAA